RNAcentral lists this ribosomal RNA (468 nucleotides) under uncultured bacterium. RNAcentral describes it as "partial 16S ribosomal RNA". It matches the Rfam family "Bacterial small subunit ribosomal RNA", at positions 28 to 507 of the family's 1533-position model. The record is from RNAcentral.
GACGAACGCUGGCGGCGUGCUUAACACAUGCAAGUCGAACGGAAAGGCCCUGCUUUUGUGGUGUGCUCGAGUGGCGAACGGGUGAGUAACACGUGAGUAACCUGCCCUUGACUUUGGGAUAACUUCAGGAAACUGGGGCUACUACCGUAUAGGAGCUCCUGCUCCAUGGUGGGGGUUGGAAAGUUUCGGCGGUUGGGGAUGGACUCGCGGCUUAUCAGCUUGUUGGUGGGGUAGUGGCUUACCAAGGCUUUGACGGGUAGCCGGCCUGAGAGGGUGACCGGCGACAUGGGGACUAAGGUACGGCGCAGAGUCCAACGGGAGGCAGCAGUGGGGAAUAUUGCACAAUGGGCGGAAGCCUGAUGCAGCAACGCCGCGGGCGGGAAGACGUCCUUCGGGUUGUAAACCGCUUUCGCCUGUGACGAAGCGGGAGUGACGGUAAUGGGUAAAGAAGCACCGGCUAACUACGUG